Polyodon spathula (Mississippi paddlefish) is the source of this 461-nucleotide long non-coding RNA. RefSeq lists it as uncharacterized. The transcript is spliced from 2 exons. The record is from RefSeq and is a predicted model, not a curated record. Lineage: Eukaryota; Metazoa; Chordata; Actinopteri; Acipenseriformes; Polyodontidae.
CUCUCUCUCAGCGAAAAUCCACAGAACGUCGAUGAGGCUUUUCAUCAAGUCACACGAGCGAUCAGGAAGUUCAAGGAGAUGGAAUCCCCGCCAAGCCCCUCCCACCCCGGCUCCAAGCGCAAUGGCGACGGCUGCCCCUGCGUUCUGCUGUAACCGUGGCAACACCCACCCCAGCCCCUGCCUAGCAACACUCCCGUUACCGUGGCAAUCUCUCCAAUGCUCUGGGUUCCUGUCUCCACGACAACCGAAUGAAUGAUGGGCUGGUGGAGGGGGGGGGUGCUGCCGUAGCAACCAAAGCAUCACCACAGCAACAGCUGCAGAGAGUGACGAUCGACCGGAUCUCUAGAGAGGAAACCGCUUCGAUUUCUCUUGAAUUGAUUCAAUUUUCUAUCUUUUUGUCGUCUUUCUGAAAACGGUUGAGUAAAUAAAUACAUAAAUAAAUAAACGACGUUUUAAUCGCA